RNAcentral lists this ribosomal RNA (500 nucleotides) under uncultured bacterium. RNAcentral describes it as "partial 16S ribosomal RNA". It matches the Rfam family "Bacterial small subunit ribosomal RNA", at positions 30 to 523 of the family's 1533-position model. The record is from RNAcentral.
AUUGAACGCUGGCGGCAGGCUUAACACAUGCAAGUCGAGCGGAGAUGAGGUGCUUGCACCUUAUCUUAGCGGCGGACGGGUGAGUAAUGCUUAGGAAUCUGCCUAUUAGAGGGGGACAACAUUCCGAAAGGAAUGCUAAUACCGCAUACGUCCUACGGGAGAAAGCAGGGGAUCUUCGGACCUCGCGCUAAUAGAUGCGCCUAAGUCGGAUUAGCAAGUUGGUGGGUAAAGGCCUACCAAGGCGACGAUCUGUAGCGGGUCUGAGAGGAUGAUCCGCCACACUGGGACUGAGACACGGCCCAGACUCCUACGGGAGGCAGCAGUGGGGAAUAUUGGACAAUGGGGGAAACCCUGAUCCAGCCAUGCCGCGUGUGUGAAGAAGGCCUUAUGGUUGUAAAGCACUUUAAGCGAGGAGGAGGCUACUGAGACUAAUACUCUUGGAUAGUGGACGUUACUCGCAGAAUAAGCACCGGCUAACUCUGUGCCAGCCGCCGCCGUAA